RNAcentral lists this ribosomal RNA (323 nucleotides) under uncultured bacterium. RNAcentral's name for it is "bacterial SSU rRNA". It matches the Rfam family "Bacterial small subunit ribosomal RNA", at positions 8 to 332 of the family's 1533-position model. The record is from RNAcentral.
AGAGUUUGAUCCUGGCUCAGAUUGAACGCUGGCGGAAUGCUUUACACAUGCAAGUCGAACGGCAGCACGGGAGCUUGCUCCUGGUGGCGAGUGGCGAACGGGUGAGUAAUACCUAGGAACAUGUCCAGUAAUGGGGGAUAACGCAGCGAAAGCUGUGCUAAUACCGCAUACGCCCCACGGGGGAAAGCGGGGGAUUCGCAAGAACCUCGCGUUAUUGGAGUGGCCUAGGCCUGAUUAGCUAGUUGGUGAGGUAAAGGCUCACCAAGGCGACGAUCAGUAGCUGGUCUGAGAGGAUGAUCAGCCACACUGGACUGAGACACGCC